AUUUUGCUUAAAUUUUUAUGAGCUAUGUUCUUAUUGAAUACCUAUUUAAUUACAUAUGAGGCAUGUCUAGGGUAUUUGUCAUGGAGUCCAUGCUCUAUGUCCAAUCAGUGGGUUUUAUCUAUUUCACUAUGCAAAAUAUUCAGACUAAACUUCAUCAAAUUAUAUGGUAUUGAAUAACUAAGUGUAUUACUCUUGUACAUUAAAAUAAAUGGCCUCAAAAUGCCCAAAGUUUCUGCAUUAAAAGAAAAAGGUUCAUUGGAAAAUUUUCUCAGUUGGGUGCUUGAAAUGUUAACAAUGCAGGUGAAAGUUAAUCCAUAUGGUAUAAUUUUCUUGCAUACUUUUAUAUUUGAGUAUAAUAUUGUGAACCUGUCAUCUGUCGUCCUUUUGGCGCAAUUUAUUGAAUGUCA
Molecule: unclassified non-coding RNA, 407 nt
Filed under: Hevea brasiliensis (rubber tree)
Lineage: Eukaryota; Viridiplantae; Streptophyta; Magnoliopsida; Malpighiales; Euphorbiaceae
Source: RNAcentral